Molecule: ribosomal RNA, 1315 nt
Filed under: unidentified marine bacterioplankton
Lineage: Bacteria
Description: bacterial SSU rRNA
Rfam family: Bacterial small subunit ribosomal RNA
Source: RNAcentral
GAGUUUGAUCAUGGCUCAGGAUGAACGCUGGCGGCGUGCUUAACACAUGCAAGUCGAACGAACCUUCGGGUUAGUGGCGGACGGGUGAGUAACGCGUGAGGAUCUGCCCUCAGGAGGGGGAUAACAGCUGGAAACGGCUGCUAAUACCCCAUAUGCCGCGAGGUGAAAUGAAUUUCGCCUGAGGAUGAGCUCGCGUCUGAUUAGCUAGUUGGUGUAGGUAAUGGCUCACCAAGGCUUCGAUCAGUAGCUGGUCUGAGAGGAUGAUCAGCCACACUGGGACUGAGACACGGCCCAGACUCCUACGGGAGGCAGCAGUGGGGAAUUUUCCGCAAUGGGCGAAAGCCUGACGGAGCAACGCCGCGUGAGGGAUGAAGGCCUCUGGGCUGUAAACCUCUUUUCUCAAGGAAGAAGAUCUGACGGUACUUGAGGAAUAAGCCACGGCUAAUUCCGUGCCAGCAGCCGCGGUAAUACGGGAGUGGCAAGCGUUAUCCGGAAUUAUUGGGCGUAAAGCGUCCGCAGGCGGCCCUUCAAGUCUGCUGUUAAAACGUGGAGCUUAACUCCAUCAUGGCAGUGGAAACUGUUGGGCUUGAGUGUGGUAGGGGCAGAGGGAAUUCCCGGUGUAGCGGUGAAAUGCGUAGAUAUCGGGAAGAACACCAGUGGCGAAGGCGCUCUGCUGGGCCAUAACUGACGCUCAUGGACGAAAGCCAGGGGAGCGAAAGGGAUUAGAUACCCCUGUAGUCCUGGCCGUAAACGAUGAACACUAGGUGUCGGGGGAAUCGACCCCCUCGGUGUCGUAGCCAACGCGUUAAGUGUUCCGCCUGGGGAGUACGCACGCAAGUGUGAAACUCAAAGGAAUUGACGGGGGCCCGCACAAGCGGUGGAGUAUGUGGUUUAAUUCGAUGCAACGCGAAGAACCUUACCAGGGUUUGACAUCCUGCGAACCUCUUGGAAACGAGAGGGUGCCUUCGGGAACGCAGUGACAGGUGGUGCAUGGCUGUCGUCAGCUCGUGUCGUGAGAUGUUGGGUUAAGUCCCGCAACGAGCGCAACCCACGUCUUUAGUUGCCAGCAUUUAGUUGGGCACUCUAGAGAGACCGCCGGUGAUAAACCGGAGGAAGGUGUGGAUGACGUCAAGUCAUCAUGCCCCUUACAUCCUGGGCUGCACACGUACUACAAUGCUACGGACAAAGGGCAGCAAGUUCGCGAGGACAAGCAAAUCCCAUAAACCGUGGCUCAGUUCAGAUCGUAGGCUGCAACUCGCCUACGUGAAGGAGGAAUCGCUAGUAAUCGCGUAACAGCAUGACGCGGUGAAUACGU